UACGUAGGGUGCAAGCGUUGUCCGGAAUUAUUGGGCGUAAAGAGCUCGUAGGUGGCCUGUCGCGUCGGCUGUGAAAACUCGGGGCUCAACUCCGAGCUUGCAGUCGAUACGGGCAGGCUAGAGUUCGGCAGGGGAGACUGGAAUUCCUGGUGUAGCGGUGAAAUGCGCAGAUAUCAGGAGGAGCACCGGUGGCGAAGGCGGGUCUCUGGGCCGAUACUGACACUGAGGAGCGAAAGCGUGGGGAGCGAACAGG
RNAcentral lists this ribosomal RNA (253 nucleotides) under uncultured bacterium. Its description in RNAcentral is "partial 16S ribosomal RNA". It matches the Rfam family "Bacterial small subunit ribosomal RNA", at positions 524 to 776 of the family's 1533-position model. The record is from RNAcentral.